This 11045-nucleotide long non-coding RNA is filed under the name Lactuca sativa (garden lettuce). RNAcentral describes it as "long non-coding RNA (LSAT_LNC008710)". The record is from RNAcentral. Lineage: Eukaryota; Viridiplantae; Streptophyta; Magnoliopsida; Asterales; Asteraceae.
UUAGAUAGUUCAUAUGUGUGUCUAAACAAUUAAGACUAAUUGCCAAACCUCACAAUUCAAAUCAUGGAAAGGGAUACCGUAACCAUAAUCGAAUUCGAGAAUGCAAUUUUACAAUCACUAUCUUCUUAAAAUCUUUCUUAGUGAAAACAUUUCCUCACAAUCAUUUUCAUGAAGGAGGAAAUCUUAUGAAACUUAGAUUUAAACGGUGUAUGUGUUCCUAUCCAUGUGAAUUUGUUAAAACCAAAGUUUACGACAAAUUCAAACUCAUAUGGAUCGAACUUUCUUAAUCUCGAUUUCUUGCCUUAUGGUAGCACAACUGCCCACCAUGUCUUCCAAGUAGUUAAGCAGCUCACUUUUUCUUAUCAAUGUACUUUCCAUUGAUCAAGGCCCUUGCCUUUUAUGCAUUCAAAUGAGAACUCAUAGGACUCACAUGCAUAAUUAACUCGAUUGGAUUGGCACAAAAACAAAAUAAUGUCAACACGAUAGGUUGUAAACCUCAACUCGUGUGCUAGUGAUGAUCGAUAAGGUUUAUUUUGAUUUGUUCUUGAAACCAUUCAAGACCAUUAAGACUCCCAUUGACUCCUUGACAUAUAAGAUUCUCUUGUCAAUAAACAUUUCUUGACAAACAAAUAUUCAAGAGUUAGUGUAGUUUUUAUCAAAACACUUCAUAAAUUGGUCUUAGUUGGUCUUUGUCUUAUCCAAGACAUCACAACUUUCCACAUUUGGUGAUUGUUAUAAACCUUCUUAACACUUAUCACUCAAUUUCACAAUCUUAAUUUUUGAGAACGAAGUAUGAUUGACUUAUUGAUUUUACCAUUUCUUCAAUUCUUGAUUCCUCUUCCUAGACAUGCAAUUGUACUAAGACUCACUUAGAGGAUUAAUUGAGAUAUGGUUCUUAAUUAUUAAGACUUAUCAUAAAGCAUAAAGGUACUCUCCCUUCUUCGUAGAAUAGAGAAACUUUUAUCUUUCUGCCUACUUGAUUCUUUUUAUUCAUUCUGCUAUUGAUUUAAACUCUUUCAAUANUACUAAACCUUUAGUAAAUCAUGACGAAUAUCUCUCUUUUUUUACUCUUAUGGUGGACUUUGGUCAACACACAACUUUGUGUACUCGAUCUCCUAGUCCUUCACNNNNNNNNNNNNNNNNNNNNNNNNNNNNNNNNNNNNNNNNNNNNNNNNNNNNNNNNNNNNNNNNNNNNNNNNNNNNNNNNNNNNNNNNNNNNNNNNNNNNCCUUUCUCUCCAUAAUUCAUCCUAUCAAGUUGCUUUGGUGAUGGCUACCCAAAAGGACCAUGUAACAUCGGGUCAAGUACAUACCAAAAUAGUUAUGGACUAACACUAAUCCAACAGUCUCCCACUUGGAUAAGUCUAAUAACUAUUAUGCGUAUGACUUCAGAUCCUGAUAUGCAAUCUUAANAAGACGCUGUCAACUCUGAUCCUAUCAGAUACGCGUGUCCUUUAGAUAAGGGAUCAUAUAUUCCUCCAUUCUAGAUAUCAUGUGAGACAUGAUUUCAAAUCAUUCUCUUUGUACUAUAUCUCGACUUCCGAUUUAUGACGACUGACUAAUUGAACAAAUCAAAUUAGUCCUAGCCCGGCCGAGCAUUUACGUUUGUCAUCACUAAAUCAUCGAGGGGCCCAAAAAUAUCGCUUUUAUCCUACUUUGGAUAAAAGGAACGGAUAAAGAUUGAUACAAUGCUUGCUUGCACUCACUCACCGAAUUACACACAACAAUAUUGUGACAACCCGAAAUUUCCAUUUGUACGAACAUUAUCUAUUCAAUAGAAGCUAGUCCAGUUUCUGUAAUUUUCAGACUUGUCCCAACAAGUUUGCGUACUUUAGGGUUUAUGUUUCUGGACAUAUCAGGAGAGUGGAUGCUCCAGUAAUUGUGAAACUUGAGCAUUGUAAGUUUCCUAAUGUUAUAGUCCGACUUCCGGAAUAAAAAUAUUUUCUGUCAAAAUAUUCCAGGACUAUAAAUAGAUUUCUGAAUUUAAUUAAUUCAUUAUUCACAAUUCCAACUAGAGAAACGCCAAUUCUCUCUGACGGAUCUUCGGGUUUUCAUCCUGGAUUGUGAGUCUACUUUCCUAAACGUGUUCAAUACUUGUUAUAUGCUUUAUAACAUCAAUUAUAUGUCUAAACUGCAAGAUCCGAGAGUUUACCGCCCAAGAACGUUCUUGGGGAGUAAACUCCAAAACGGAGCCUAAAGGCUUCCUAGUCCCGAUUCCUUGUUAGACAACAUGUUUAGGGGUUAGUGUAUAAACAUUUGGGACUAAAAAUUGUCACAACUGUAAAAUUUAAGCUAUGUAAUCUAUACAUUCAANNNNNNNNNNNNNNNNNNNNNNNNNNNNNNNNNNNNNNNNNNNNNNNNNNNNNNNNNNNNNNNNNNNNNNNNNNNNNNNNNNNNNNNNNNNNNNNNNNNNCCCGGACGUUUCCGCCGUCUGGUUCGGGGGUGUGACAAAAAUCAAUCAAGAAACACAAGUUAUAGGAGUUUACGGCCAAGGAACUUUCUUGGGUCUACUUUCCUAAACCCCUUAGCCUUAGAUAAAAGCAUGGAAGCUAUCCUACACAUGCAAGGGCCUCAAAUGAAUUUAAAACAACACCCCAUAGGAGUUUACAGUUGUAAACUCUAGGGGAUAUGGUCCUUUGGCUUUAAACUUCCCAAAGGAGCAUUCCAAGGCCUUAAACUACUUCAAGUAUUAUUCCAACAAGGCUAGGCUUAUUCUAGGAUCAAGAUAACACCUCAAAACACCCAAAACCACCAUGUGAGGAGUUCACGGCCGUAAACCCAUGGGUUCAUGGCCGUAAACUCCAAUGAGUAGGGUUUGUUGGGUGGUGAACUCAUAUACAAGGCCAUUUGUGGUUUAAACCCCUUUUGCCUUGUCCCGUAUCAACUUAGAUGCAACCAUUAGGACCUAUAACACUUAUAUAAAGUGUAUACAUGUUCCUAAGAGUUUUAACUUACUUUGUUAGGUUAUUAUUUGGCUAAUUAGUGAUAUAUAUGCUUAUUAUAUGAUAACUAGGCUCGAACAUGUGAACAAGUCUCCGUUUGCCACUUAGCACGGUACCCGAUACAUCAAUUCAAUCUACUCACCACAAGUGAGUUUAUAACCCUUUAAUCAACCUUUGAAAUACUUUUAAAAUGUUUUAAAUACUUUAUGGGGGGAAUACAAGUCAAAUACUUAUAGUUAUUACAUCAAUCACAUGUGAUUGCAUUAAUCACAUGUGAUUAAUAACUAGAAAACCAAUGAUUUUACCACUGUUCAACUGUUUAUCAAACUGUUUCUCUUCAAAUGUUUUACAACCCUUUUUACUUAUCAAAUGCUUUUAUUAAACUUGUUUUACUUCUUAUAAAUUGCAUGCACAUAUAUGUAUAUAUAUAUAAGUAAUGUUUAAAGGGCUUAGGAAAGCCAUCCACCCUAUUUCCUUUUCCUCGAUUUAGAUGUGGUCUGGUGGGAUUUCGGGUGACCAUCCGAGGUUCGUUUCCAUAUUAGUUAUAUAUCAUAUAUACAUGUAUAGACAUAAAAGUACUUCUAUAUUCAUAUUUAUCAGUACAUCAAUAGCUAGUUACCAUCAGGGUAACACAAUACAUAUACAACUAUACUAGAAACAAUACAUAUACAAUGAUGCUAGAAACAAUACAUAUACAACUAUACUAGAAACAAUACAUAUACAAUGAUGCUAGAAACAAUACAUAUACAACUAUACUAGAAACAAUACAUAUACAAUGAUGCUAUAAACAAUACAUAUACAAUGAUGCUAGAAACAAUACAUAUACAAUGAUGCUAGAAACAAUACAUAUACAAUGAUGCUAGAAACAAUACAUAUACAAGAAUACUUUAUUUAUUGUGAUUUAAAUCGGAGCAUGACUUAACUGUCAUGGCUCGAGUUGUAGCCAGAAUUCUCUUGAAGGGAGAGCGUGAGUUGGCGUAUAGAUCUAUACUGAAUUGACAAUCCUACACCUUGCUGCUAGCUACAGUCGGACCUGCAGGUCUGCGGGUGCCAAACGUCAUUCCGUUAUUACGACCAUUCAUUAUGUCGUUGUUACUUGCCGAUAGUAUGGUGCAAUUUAUCACAUAAUGCCUUAAUAUAAAUCCGGUUUAAGGUAGUUAGUACAACAGUAGUUCUUAUAAUACAAGGCUACAGUACUACAAUGAUUUACCCAUUACAUAUUUUUAGUGAUAACCUCACUUAAACAUUUAUGUACAAACUAUAUUUUGUUAAAUGAUAGUUACACUUGGGAAAUUACACACUUUUACAUCAAACGAGCAUACAAAACAGUUAAGCCUUGGUAGAAGGCUACUUUAAUAGAAAAUAUAGGUUUUUCUGAGAGAUUCAAACUUUUACAAACACUUACAAACAUUUACAUACAUUUUACAAACUUACACUUGAGACAUGUUCAAACGUUUUGAUAACAAACACCGACACUAAAAUACUUAUGAACUCACCAGCUUAAUGCUGAUAAACUCUUUCAAAAUAACUUGUAUUCUCAGGUCAUCAGUAGACAGGUACCGAGGCCAGCUUUUGAGAAGAUGGAGCGCAUUCAAGACUCAUCUUAUUAUUUUGAUUUACGUUAUUUUUGUGUCUAUAACUGUACAUAACACGCUUGUAUUAAAAUUAUAUAUUUAAUGCAAUGGAUGAUGUUGUUUGCUUAUUUACAUUUACUGUGUUGUGAUACUUACAUGACGUCCUCCGCCCCAGAACGUUUCCGCCGUUCUUGGUUUUGGGGUGUGACAGAUUGGUAUCAGAGCAUUGUUUUUAGUGAAUCAAGUGUAUCAACCCAUAAAAGAUAUACUAAACUAUAAACCCAUUUGGGAUUAAAACACUCUGACCAAGAGUCUAUACUUAAAAUACUAAAAUAUUUAAUUAAGUAUACUUGUGUACAUUCAUACAAAAACCAGUUUCACAACGACAAGAACAAAAGUAUUACGAUUGUUAAAUAUCACAGGUAAGCUCGGGGAUAUAUGGUCAGUCCUGGGAAUGGCAUAGCCUGAUCAACUAUGCUGGUCCGAGGAGUGAUUAGCAUAUGCCCUAGAAUGGUUGUGAUGUGUUAACAAGUCUAAAAACUUACCAACAAUACCACAAGAAGAUUAGUAGAACUUAAACUUAAAAUACUAUAGGUGUAUUUUGUACUACCAACUACAUGUAUACUAUAUCUUUAUACCUCUCUUCUCACGUAGAUUUAAAUGGCUGGAUUCCAUCACGGUGACCCGUACUUUCCAAAUGAAGGCAACGCAGGAUGGCUCGAAGCAGAGUCUGACGAUGAACACCCAAUCCCGUUGGAUGAUCAUCAAGCUAAAGGCUUCUCGGAUGGAUUAGACUCUGAGCCCGAAGUCAACAACCUACCUCCAGUAGGUCAAGCCCCGAACAACAACCCUCGACCAACUUUUCUAGGUCUCACUCCCUUGUGGGUAGAUAACUUGAAUCGCUGGAGUGACGAACAGGGUCAACCCUUACCAUACUUUGGGGACCGAACCUUUUACAACGUCAGCGAUGGCGGCGCUGCUGACCGAGCUCUACCUGUCAUUAUCCGCAGAAUAGCUCGUAAUGUCGAGCAAGGUCGAGCAGUCAUCGACCGGGUCCUGGAGAUUGAUGCCAACUCUGGUGUCAAUACAGUCCGCAUUCGCCGUCUCGAAGAACAUAUGGAACGGACCCGAAGAAUCAAUGAAACCCUACAACAACGUCUGGUUGCCUCUCAAGCAGAAGUCAUGGAACUUCGAGCUCGUUAAAGGGCUCAUGAGCGACACCUUCAAGAGGUUGUACGUCAAAUGAGAGACCUCAGGGUUCUCCCGAGGAAUACUCAUCGCUGUUAGAUGAUGUCUAGUACAUCAUUAUCUUUUCGGUUAAGGAUUAGCCUUUAACAUCCGUGCUCUAAGUAGCACAUAUCUGUAAAAUAUUCCUAACUUUCAGUACUCUAAUUAGGAAUCUAAGAACUGUCAAACUUUCUGUAUGGUAUGAUGUAAGACCUACUGUUAGGUCAAUUUUCAUUGAACUCAUUACAUCAGUAAUACCAGUAUUAUUGACAACUACCGACUCUGUGGGAAGAAUCGUUACAUUUGGGUUUUCCUACACAUCCUUCUGGUUAAGAUUUCAAACACUCAUUCAACUAUUGGGCUAUGGUUAGUUAGUCCAUGUGUCAUUCGCACAUUACUUACAAAUUGAUUCUUACCACCUUUCUCAUCUUUAUAAACUUAUAGCUGAAAGAUGCCUCCUCGCAAAUCUACCCGGAAUAACCCGACACCUACACCACCUCCGGUCAUCGAUACAGCAGCCCUAAAUGUUGCCGUAGCUGCAGCAGUGGCAACUGCCAUGGCACAAUAUCACUCUACUGAUGCCAGCAGAGGUGGAACCCCGGUUAACUCCAUUCCGGUUGAAACUCCUGUGCGCUCGAGAGAGUGCUCUUACAAGGAUUUCACCAACUGUAAGCCGAAACCCUUCCAUGGGACCGGUGGAGUCAUUGCUCUCUCGCAAUGGUUCGAGAAGACUGAAUUAGUCUUCGAAAUUUGUUCUUGCCCUGCUGCGAGCAAAGUCAAAUAUGCCGCAUGCACCUUCGAAGGGAAGGCACUGACGUGGUGGAACAGCCACGUUAAAUCUCUAACUCUCGUUGUGGCCAACGACAUAGGCUGGGAUACGAUGAAAGACCUCAUGAUUGAGGAAUACUGCCCGAGGGGCGAGAUCCAGAAACUAGAGCAGGAGCUUUGGAGCCUGACCAUGAAGGGCACCAACAUUAUAGCUUACACCGCCAGAUUUAACGAACUGGUGGCCCUCUUCCCUAAUAUGGUUCCCACUGAAGGGAAAAAGAUCGAACGGUACAUAUGGGGGCUAUUUCCUCCGCAUCAGGGGAAUGUCCUAUCAUCAAACCCCGCUACCUUCGACAGUGCCAAGUGACUGGCACAGCGACUCAUUGACCAUGGUGUCAAAACCUCUACAACCACAACAACCCUAGCCAUCUCGGAGCCUUCCAAACCCGCUGACACCAAGCGGAAGUUCUGGGAUGACAAGAAGAGGCAGCGAGCUGCCAAGAAGCAGCAAAUUGUGGCAGUACAUUCCGCGGUAACCCCUACUGCUACUGCUCCGACGAAGCAAUAUGCUGGAAGUUUGCCGAAGUGAAACAAAUGCAACUUCCACCACAACGGCCCUUGCCGUGAAAUGCAGUGCUCUAACUGCAACAGGAAAGGACACACCGUCCGUUUCUGUAAAUUCCCGACACAACCGAUCACGCAAGUCCCUGGCUCUAGCGCGAGCCCAACUUGCUAUGGAUGUGCCGGAAUAGGCCACUAUAAGAGGGACUGCCCCAAAGCGAGAAAUGCUGGAGGAGCAGGGAGGGUACUGGCUAUAGGCCACGGGGAAGCAGUUGCUGACCCGACAGUGGUGACUGGUACGUUCCUCCUCGAUAACUCCUAUGCAUGCAUUAUGUUCGAUAGUGGAGCGGAGCGAAGCUUCGUAAACCAAAAAUUUGCUCGCAUGCUUAAACCACAACCACACGCACUUAAAGAUCCAUUCAUUCCCAAUCGACCUCAUGCCGGUCUCAAUAAAAAGCUUCGACGUUAUCAUCGGCAUGGAUUGGUUAAGUCUUCAUCGCGCCGACAUCAUGUGCUUCGAGAAAGCAGUCCGACUAAACCUUCCGUCUAAUAAAACUCUUAUAGUCUACGGCGACAAACCUAGUGCGAGUCUUCGCAUUAUAUCAAGUAUUCAAGCCCAGAAAUAUCUGCGCAAAGAAUACCACACAUUCCUUGCUCACGUCGUCGACACGAACCUCGAAACGAAAGAACUCAAGAACAUUCCAGUAGUGAGCGACUUCCCCGACAUUUUCCCAGGAGAACUACCUGGAUUACCUCCGCAACGACAGGUUGAGUUCAGAAUCGACUUAGUCCCAGGAGCUACCCCAGUAGCCAAGUCGCCCUACCGCUUAGCACCAGCAGAGAUGCAGGAAUUAUCUGGUCAACUUAACGAACUACUCAGCAAAGGCUUCAUAAGACCAAGCUUCUCACCUUGGGGAGCACCGUUCUUGUUCGUUAAGAAGAAAGACAGAUCAUUCCGUAUGUGUAUCGACUACAGAGAACUCAACAAACUGACGGUCAAAAAUCGUUACCCUCUACCUCGCAUAGACCAACUGCAAAGGGCGAACUAUUUUUCCAAAGUUGAUUUAAGAUCCGGAUAUCACCAGUUACGAGUGCUCGAGGAGGAUGUGCCGAAGACAGCCUUCCGAACUCGUUACGGACAUUACGAGUUCGUGGUGAUGCCAUUCGGAUUGACCAAUGCGCCAGCAAUCUUCAUGGAUCUGAUGAAUAGAGUAUGCCGACCUUACUUGGAUCAGUUNNNNNNNNNNNNNNNNNNNNNNNNNNNNNNNNNNNNNNNNNNNNNNNNNNNNNNNNNNNNNNNNNNNNNNNNNNNGAGAAACUUUAUGCGAAGUUCUCGAAAUGUGAAUUUUGGAUCCGAAGAGUCGAAUUCUUAGGACACGUGGUAAGCGAAGAGGGAAUCCACGUGGACCCAUCCAAAAUUAAAGCCAUUGAGAACUGGUCAGCACCAAAGACGCCUACAGAAAUUCGUCAAUUUCUAGGCCUCGCUGGCUACUACCGCAGAUUCAUACAGAACUUCUCCCGAAUAGCGAAACCUCUUACAACCCUGACCCAGAAAGGCGUGGCCUUUGACUGGGAAGAGAAACAAGAGAGAGCGUUCCAAACGCUCAAACGAGCCUUGUGCACCGCGCCAAUACUAUCUCUCCUCGAAGUGAUAGAAGACUUUGUAGUCUAUUGCGAUGCAUCGAACCAAGGGCUCAGGUGUGUUCUGAUGCAGCGAGGUAAGGUCAUCGCCUACGCCUCGAGACAAUUGAAGACACACGAGGUUAACUACACGACCCACGAUCUUGAACUAGGAGCAGUAGUGUUUGCUCUGAAGAUCUGGAGACAUUACUUGUAUGGAACGAAGAGCACUAUCUUUACCGACCACAAGAGUUUACAACACAUUUUCGAUCAGAAGGAGCUCAACAUGAGACAACGACGGUGGGUCGAGCUACUCAGUGACUACGAAUGCGAUAUUCGUUAUCAUACGGGUAAAGCCAACGUAGUAGCAAACGCCCUGAGUCGGAAAGAAUAUUCUGGUCGCAAGGUCAAGUCAUUGUCGAUAACCAUCCAUUCACACUUGUCUAACCAAAUUCAGGCGGCCCAACUUGAAGCAAUGAAACCUGAAAAUGUGACGAGUGAAUCCCUCAGAGGAAUGGACAAGAAUUUAGAAGCCAAGGGUGACGGAGCUUUAUAUUUCAUGAACCGGAUCUGGACACCGAAACACGGUGGUUUCCGAGACUUGGUCAUGACCGAGGCGCACAACACUCGGUAUUCCGUCCACCCAGGUUCAGAUAAGAUGUAUCUGGAUCUUAAAAAGCUAUACUGGUGGCCUAAUAUGAAAGCAGAGAUUGCUACCUUCGUAAGUAAAUGCCUUACUUGCGCAAAGGUAAAGGUCGAGUACCAGAAGCCCUCCGGUUUACUGCAACAGCCAGAGAUUCCAGAAUGGAAGUGGGAGCGGAUCACUAUGGAUUUCAUAACCAAGUUGCCCAAGACAAUGGGUGGACUUGAUACCAUAUGGGUCAUCGUUGAUAGAUUGACCAAGUCUGCACACUUCCUGCCUAUCAAAGAAACCGACAAGAUGGAGAAACUAACGAGAACAUACAUUAGGGAAAUCGUACGACUACAUGGUGUGCCUAUAUCCAUUAUCUCCGAUCGAGAUAGUAGGUUCACCUCUAGAUUCUGGCAAUCACUGCAACAUUUCCUAGGAACAAGGCUGGACAUGAGCACAGCCUACCAUCCACAGAUUGACGGACAGAGUCAGAGGACGAUCCAGACUUUAGAAGAUAUGCUGCGUGCUUCUGUAAUUGACUUCGGAAAAGUGUGGGAUACUCAUUUACCUCUCGUCGAAUUUUCCUACAACAACAGUUAUCACACGAGCAUAAAAGCAGCACCAUUUGAAGCUCUCUACGGCCGAAAGUGCAGAUCCCCUACGCUUCGGUAAGCGUGGGAAGCUUAAUCCUAGGUACAUAGGGCCUUUCGAGAUUCUCGCAAGAGUCGGCCCCGUUGCUUACAAACUUGAUCUACCCGACACACUUCGUAACGUACAUUCUACAUUCCACGUAUCUAACUUGAAAAAGUGUCUGUCCGACGAGACCCUCGUAAUCCCACUCGACGAGAUCGAGAUCAACGAGAGCCUCAACUUUGUGGAAGAACCUGUAGAGAUCAUGGGCCGUGAGGUCAAGCAGAUGAAACAAAGCCGUAUCCCUAUCGUGAAGGUUCCCUGGAACGCCAAGCGAGGACCGGAAUUCACUUGGGAACGCGAGGAUCAGAUGAAACUGAAAUAUCCUCAUCUUUUCGCUUAGUUAUUUGUAACUUCCUAUUUGCUUAAAUUCUAAUUUCGGGACGAAAUUCCUUCUAACGGGGGAUGAUGUGACAACCCGAAAUUUCCAUUUGUACGAACAUUAUCUAUUCAAUAGAAGCUAGUCCAGUUUCUGUAAUUUUCAGACUUGUCCGAACAAGUUUGCUUACUUUAGGGCUUACGUUUCUGGACAUAUCAGGAGAGUGGAUGCUCCUGUAAUUGUGAAACUUGAGCAUUGUAAGUUUCAUAAUGUUAUAGUCCGACUUCCGGAAUAAAAAUAUUUUCUGUCAAAAUAUUUCAGGACUAUAAAUAGAUUUCUGAAUUUAAUUAAUUCAUUAUUCACAAUUCCAACUAGAGAAACGCCAAUUCUCUCUGACGGAUCUUCGGGUUUUCAUCUCGGAUUGUGAUUCUACUUUCCUAAACGUGUUUCAAUACUUGUUAUAUGCUUUAUAACAUCAAUUAUAUGUCUAAACUGCAAGAUUCGAGAGUUUACCGCCCAAGAACGUUCUUGGGGNNNNNNNNNNNNNNNNNNNNNNNNNNNNNNNNNNNNNNNNNNNNNNNNNNNNNNNNNNNNNNNNNNNNNNNNNNNNNNNNNNNNNNNNNNNNNNNNNNNNAAACAAAAUAAUGUCAACAUGAUAGGUUGUAAACCUCAACUCGUGCUAGUGUUGAUCGAUAAGGUUUAUUUGAUUUGUUCU